UUUAAACGCAGCCAUGAGUUUCCGUAUCCAGCUUUAAUCAUCUAUCUUAUUUAAAUAUUUUUUAUGAUUAAUAUUUUUAUUGUUAUUAGAUAAUAAAACAUAAAUAGUACACUAUGUGUGACUUAUGUUUUUAAUUUUUUAAAAAAGUUUUAAAUAAGAUAGAUGAUUAAAGUUGGAUACGAAAACUGAUACCUGCUCAUGAA
Molecule: non-coding RNA, 203 nt
Organism: Oryza punctata
Lineage: Eukaryota; Viridiplantae; Streptophyta; Magnoliopsida; Poales; Poaceae
Source: Rfam